This 196-nucleotide unclassified non-coding RNA is filed under the name fungal sp. RNAcentral describes it as "partial internal transcribed spacer region". The stretch from base 1 to 46 matches the Rfam family "Eukaryotic small subunit ribosomal RNA", at positions 1786 to 1831 of the family's 1831-position model. Lineage: Eukaryota; Fungi. The record is from RNAcentral.
AAGUCGUAACAAGGUUUCCGUAGGUGAACCUGCGGAAGGAUCAUUAAUGAAUGAUUUUUGAGUAAAUUUGGCACCUGCCAGAUUUAUUCUUUCCUGUGAACUGUUUUUAUUUUUCUUGUUUUCUUUUUAUAUUUUAGUGUUCGUAAGGACAAUGAAAUUCUAAAGACAACUUUCAGCAAUGGAUCUCUUGGCUCUU